RNAcentral lists this ribosomal RNA (327 nucleotides) under Lysinibacillus sp. TJI-56. Its description in RNAcentral is "bacterial SSU rRNA". It matches the Rfam family "Bacterial small subunit ribosomal RNA", at positions 32 to 346 of the family's 1533-position model. Lineage: Bacteria; Bacillati; Bacillota; Bacilli; Caryophanales; Bacillaceae. The record is from RNAcentral.
CAACGCUGGCGGCGUGCCUAAUACAUGCAAGUCGAGCGAACAGAGAAGGAGCUUGCUCCUUCGACGUUAGCGGCGGACGGGUGAGUAACACGUGGGCAACCUACCUUAUAGUUUGGGAUAACUCCGGGAAACCGGGGCUAAUACCGAAUAAUCUGUUUCACCUCAUGGUGAAACACUGAAAGACGGUUUCGGCUGUCGCUAUAGGAUGGGCCCGCGGCGCAUUAGCUAGUUGGUGAGGUAACGGCUCACCAAGGCGACGAUGCGUAGCCGACCUGAGAGGGUGAUCGGCCACACUGGGACUGAGACACGGCCCAGACUCCUACGGGA